UUGAAUUGAAGAGUUUGAUCAUGGCUCAGAUUGAACGCUGGCGGCAGGCUUAACACAUGCAAGUCGAACGGUAACAUGAAG
Molecule: ribosomal RNA, 81 nt
Filed under: Parahaemophilus parainfluenzae
Lineage: Bacteria; Pseudomonadati; Pseudomonadota; Gammaproteobacteria; Pasteurellales; Pasteurellaceae
Description: Haemophilus parainfluenzae partial 16S ribosomal RNA
Rfam family: Bacterial small subunit ribosomal RNA
Source: RNAcentral